This 253-nucleotide ribosomal RNA is filed under the name uncultured bacterium. Its description in RNAcentral is "partial 16S ribosomal RNA". It matches the Rfam family "Bacterial small subunit ribosomal RNA", at positions 524 to 776 of the family's 1533-position model. The record is from RNAcentral.
UACGUAGGGGGCUAGCGUUGUCCGGAAUCAUUGGGCGUAAAGCGCGUGUAGGCGGUCCGGUAAGUCCGCUGUGAAAGCCAGGGGCUCAACCCUUGGAUGCCGGUGGAUACUGUCGGGCUCGAGUACGGAAGAGGCGAGUGGAAUUCCUGGUGUAGCGGUGAAAUGCGCAGAUAUCAGGAGGAACACCAAUUGCGAAGGCAGCUCGCUGGGACGUUACUGACGCUGAGACGCGAAAGCGUGGGGAGCAAACAGG